RNAcentral lists this ribosomal RNA (567 nucleotides) under Streptomyces sp. AN-2-39. Its description in RNAcentral is "bacterial SSU rRNA". It matches the Rfam family "Bacterial small subunit ribosomal RNA", at positions 766 to 1325 of the family's 1533-position model. Lineage: Bacteria; Bacillati; Actinomycetota; Actinomycetes; Kitasatosporales; Streptomycetaceae. The record is from RNAcentral.
GAGCGAACAGGAUUAGAUACCCUGGUAGUCCACGCCGUAAACGUUGGGAACUAGGUGUUGGCGACAUUCCACGUCGUCGGUGCCGCAGCUAACGCAUUAAGUUCCCCGCCUGGGGAGUACGGCCGCAAGGCUAAAACUCAAAGGAAUUGACGGGGGCCCGCACAAGCAGCGGAGCAUGUGGCUUAAUUCGACGCAACGCGAAGAACCUUACCAAGGCUUGACAUAUGCCGGAAACAUCCAGAGAUGGGUGCCCCCUUGUGGUCGGUAUACAGGUGGUGCAUGGUUGUCGUCAGCUCGUGUCGUGAGAUGUUGGGUUAAGUCCCGCAACGAGCGCAACCCUUGUUCUGUGUUGCCAGCAUGCCUUUCGGGGUGAUGGGGACUCACAGGAGACUGCCGGGGUCAACUCGGAGGAAGGUGGGGACGACGUCAAAUCAUCAUGCCCCUUAUGUCUUGGGCUGCACACGUGCUACAAUGGUCGGUACAAAGGGCUGCGAUGCCGCGAGGCGGAGCGAAUCCCAAAAAGCCGGCCUCAGUUCGGAUUGGGGUCUGCAACUCGACCCCAUGAAG